RNAcentral lists this ribosomal RNA (200 nucleotides) under uncultured organism. RNAcentral describes it as "partial small subunit ribosomal RNA". It matches the Rfam family "Bacterial small subunit ribosomal RNA", at positions 1183 to 1382 of the family's 1533-position model. The record is from RNAcentral.
UGUCAAGUCAGCAUGACCCUUAUGUCCUGGGCGACACACACGCUACAAUGGCCGGUACAAAGGGCAGCCAAGCGGUAACGCGGAGCCAAUCCCGCAAACCCAGUCGUAGUUCGGAUUGCAGGCUGCAACUCGCCUGCAUGAAGGUGGAGUUGCUAGUAACCGCGCGUCAGCAUAGUGCGGUGAAUACGUUCCCGGGCCUU